This 252-nucleotide ribosomal RNA is filed under the name uncultured bacterium. RNAcentral's name for it is "partial 16S ribosomal RNA". It matches the Rfam family "Bacterial small subunit ribosomal RNA", at positions 524 to 776 of the family's 1533-position model. The record is from RNAcentral.
UACGUAGGGUGCAAGCGUUGUCCGGAAUUAUUGGGCGUAAAGAGCUCGUAGGCGGUUUGUCGCGUCUGCUGUGAAAACGCGAGGCUCAACCUCGCGCCUGCAGUGGGUACGGGCAGACUAGAGUGCGGUAGGGGAGAUUGGAAUUCCUGGUGUAGCGGUGGAAUGCGCAGAUAUCAGGAGGACACCGAUGGCGAAGGCAGAUCUCUGGGCCGUAACUGACGCUGAGGAGCGAAAGCGUGGGGAGCGAACAGG